This 349-nucleotide unclassified non-coding RNA is filed under the name soil metagenome. Its description in RNAcentral is "partial contains 5.8S ribosomal RNA, internal transcribed spacer 2, and large subunit ribosomal RNA". The stretch from base 1 to 120 matches the Rfam family "5.8S ribosomal RNA", at positions 35 to 154 of the family's 154-position model. The record is from RNAcentral.
GAUGAAGAACGUAGCAAAAUGCGAUAAGUAAUGUGAAUUGCAGAAUUCAGUGAAUCAUCGAAUCUUUGAACGCACAUUGCGCCCGCUGGUAUUCCGGCGGGCAUGCCUGUUCGAGCGUCAUUUCAACCCUCAAGCCCCCGGGUUUGGUGUUGGGGAUCGGCUCUGCCCUUCUGGGCGGUGCCGCCCCCGAAAUACAUUGGCGGUCUCGCUGCAGCCUCCAUUGCGUAGUAGCUAACACCUCGCAACUGGAACGCGGCGCGGCCAUGCCGUAAAACCCCAACUUCUGAAUGUUGACCUCGGAUCAGGUAGGAAUACCCGCUGAACUUAAGCAUAUCAAUAAGCGGAAGGA